This 287-nucleotide ribosomal RNA is filed under the name uncultured bacterium. RNAcentral's name for it is "partial 16S ribosomal RNA". It matches the Rfam family "Bacterial small subunit ribosomal RNA", at positions 335 to 640 of the family's 1533-position model. The record is from RNAcentral.
CACCUACGGGGGGCAGCAGUGGGGGAUAUUGCACAAUGGGGGAAACCCUGAUGCAGCGACGCCGCGUGAGUGAAGAAGUAUUUCGGUACGUAAAGCCCUAUCAGCAGGGAAGAAACAGGACAGUACCUGACUAAGAAGCCCCGGCUAACUACGUGCCAGCAGCCGCGGUAAUACGUAGGGGGCAAGCGUUAUCCGGAUUCACUGGGCGUAAAGGGAGCGCAGGCGGCAUGGCAAGUCUGAUGUGAAAACCCGGGGCCCAACCCCGGGAGUGCAUGGAAACCGGCAGG